UGCGUAGGCGGUUUUGCAUGUCGGAUGUGAAAGCUCUCGGCUCAACCGGGAAAUGGCAUCCGAAACUGUAGAACUAGAGUACUGGAGAGGUAAGCGGAAUUCACGGUGUAGCGGUGAAAUGCGUAGAUAUCGUGAGGAACGCCGGAGGCGAAGGCGGCUUACUGGACAGAUACUGACGCUGAGGCACGAAAGCUGGGGAGCAAACA
Molecule: ribosomal RNA, 206 nt
Filed under: uncultured bacterium
Lineage: Bacteria
Description: partial 16S ribosomal RNA
Rfam family: Bacterial small subunit ribosomal RNA
Source: RNAcentral